RNAcentral lists this ribosomal RNA (142 nucleotides) under Karenia brevis. RNAcentral's name for it is "partial 28S ribosomal RNA". It matches the Rfam family "Eukaryotic large subunit ribosomal RNA", at positions 1 to 141 of the family's 3401-position model. Lineage: Eukaryota; Dinophyceae; Gymnodiniales; Kareniaceae. RNAcentral also lists the same sequence under 1 other name. The record is from RNAcentral.
GCGACCCCAGGUCAGGCGGGAUCACCCGCUGAGUUUAAGCAUAUCAAUAAGCGGAGGAAAAGAAACUAACAAGGAUUCCCUUAGUAACGGCGAGCGAACCGGGAAGAGCCCAGCUUGAAAAUCGGACGUCUUCGGCGUUCGA